GACCCUGGAAUCCUACCUGCCUGCAAAACCCCCACAAUUCUCUUGAUUGACCUCGGCUCACGUAGGAUACCCCUUCACUUAGCAC
This 85-nucleotide ribosomal RNA is filed under the name Picoa juniperi. RNAcentral's name for it is "partial 28S ribosomal RNA". The record is from RNAcentral. Lineage: Eukaryota; Fungi; Ascomycota; Pezizomycetes; Pezizales; Pyronemataceae.